RNAcentral lists this ribosomal RNA (253 nucleotides) under uncultured bacterium. RNAcentral describes it as "partial 16S ribosomal RNA". It matches the Rfam family "Bacterial small subunit ribosomal RNA", at positions 524 to 776 of the family's 1533-position model. The record is from RNAcentral.
UACGGGGGGGGCAAGCGUUGUUCGGAAUUACUGGGCGUAAAGGGCUCGUAGGUGGCCAACUAAGUCAGACGUGAAAUCCCUCGGCUCAACCGAGGAACUGCGCUUGAAACUACCAGACUCGAGGGAGAUAGAGGAAAGCGGAACUGAUGGUGGAGCGGUGAAAUGCGUUGAUAUCAUCAGGAACACCGGUGGCGAAGGCGGCUUUCUGGGUCUUACCUGACGCUGAGGAACGAAAGCCAGGGGAGCGAACGGG